UACGUAGGGUGCGAGCGUUGUCCGGAAUUAUUGGGCGUAAAGAGCUCGUAGGCGGUGUGUCACGUCGGCCGUGAAAACCUGCAGCUUAACUGUGGGCGUGCGGUCGAUACGGGCAUCACUGGAGUUCGGCAGGGGAGACUGGAAUUCCUGGUGUAGCGGUGAAAUGCGCAGAUAUCAGGAGGAACACCGAAGGCGAAGGCAGCUUACUGGGCCGAUACUGACGCUGAGGAGCGAAAGCGUGGGGAGCGAACAGG
RNAcentral lists this ribosomal RNA (254 nucleotides) under uncultured bacterium. Its description in RNAcentral is "partial 16S ribosomal RNA". It matches the Rfam family "Bacterial small subunit ribosomal RNA", at positions 524 to 776 of the family's 1533-position model. The record is from RNAcentral.